Molecule: long non-coding RNA, 548 nt
Organism: Epinephelus moara (kelp grouper)
Lineage: Eukaryota; Metazoa; Chordata; Actinopteri; Perciformes; Serranidae
Exons: 3
Source: RefSeq, a predicted model, not a curated record
AUGGACAAUGAAUGAUAACCCAGUCCUGGAGUAUUUUGGUUUAGUUUGUGUCUGCGUCUGUGUUAAACGUAGAUGAAGUUGAGUGUGAGGUUAACCCCAGAGGGGGACCAGAGCGCACCUGAGCAGGUUGGCCCUUCCAGCUACACAGUCAAGUUAGCAGCACUGUGGGGAAUAAGUGGAGCAACUGUGGACAGCAAAUUGAGCUCACCGGGAUUUCAGCUCAGUGUGAGAGUCUCUUGUGUGCAGUGGAGAGCUGAUGUCCCACCUCACCACUGCUUGUGAAACGAAAGCUCCUGAGGCGGAGGCUAUGGAGGUGCAUGAAUGAGGGGACCACGGUGAUGUCACCCUUUUUAUUUGAUUGCCACCUUUUGUGUCAUAAAUAUCAGUUCAGUAUUCAGGUAUGAGUAGAAACCUUUGACCAAAAAAAUCCAUCCUCAAGCUAACAAGAUUAAGAUAUUUUUGUCUUCCUCAGUGGAUGGAUGGCUGGUGAUGUCACUCAUUUGUUUGAUUGCAACCUUUUGUGUAAUAAAAGCUGGUCAAAAUACAUG